AACCGACACAGGUGGUCAGGUAGAGAAUACCAAGGCGCUUGAGAGAACUCGGGUGAAGGAACUAGGCAAAAUGGUGCCGUAACUUCGGGAGAAGGCACGCUGACACGUAGGUGAAGUGAUUUACUCACGGAGCUGAAGUCAGUCGAAGAUACCAGCUGGCUGCAACUGUUUAUUAAAAACACAGCACUGUGCAAACACGAAAGUGGACGUAUACGGUGUGACGCCUGCCCG
This 231-nucleotide ribosomal RNA is filed under the name Salmonella enterica subsp. enterica serovar Cerro. RNAcentral's name for it is "partial 23S ribosomal RNA". It matches the Rfam family "Bacterial large subunit ribosomal RNA", at positions 1652 to 1865 of the family's 2925-position model. The record is from RNAcentral. Lineage: Bacteria; Pseudomonadati; Pseudomonadota; Gammaproteobacteria; Enterobacterales; Enterobacteriaceae.